This 923-nucleotide ribosomal RNA is filed under the name Campylobacter jejuni. Its description in RNAcentral is "partial 23S ribosomal RNA". It matches the Rfam family "Bacterial large subunit ribosomal RNA", at positions 1 to 941 of the family's 2925-position model. The record is from RNAcentral. Lineage: Bacteria; Pseudomonadati; Campylobacterota; Epsilonproteobacteria; Campylobacterales; Campylobacteraceae.
AAAGGUAAGCUACUAAGAGCGAAUGGUGGAUGCCUUGACUGGUAAAGGCGAUGAAGGACGUACUAGACUGCGAUAAGCUACGGGGAGCUGUCAAGAAGCUUUGAUCCGUAGAUUUCCGAAUGGGGCAACCCAAUGUAUAGAGAUAUACAUUACCUAUAUAGGAGCGAACGAGGGGAAUUGAAACAUCUUAGUACCCUCAGGAAAAGAAAUCAAUAGAGAUUGCGUCAGUAGCGGCGAGCGAAAGCGCAAGAGGGCAAACCCAGUGCUUGCACUGGGGGUUGUAGGACUGCAAUGUGCAAGAGGUAAGUUUAGCAGAACAUUCUGGAAAGUAUAACCAUAGAGGGUGAUAGUCCCGUAUGCGAAAAACAAACCUUAGCUAGCAGUAUCCUGAGUAGGGCGGGACACGAGGAAUCCUGUCUGAAUCCGGGUCGACCACGAUCCAACCCUAAAUACUAAUACCAGAUCGAUAGUGCACAAGUACCGUGAGGGAAAGGUGAAAAGAACUGAGGUGAUCAGAGUGAAAUAGAACCUGAAACCAUUUGCUUACAAUCAUUCAGAGCCCUAUGUAGCAAUACAGGGUGAUGGACUGCCUUUUGCAUAAUGAGCCUGCGAGUUGUGGUGUCUGGCAAGGUUAAGCAAACGCGAAGCCGUAGCGAAAGCGAGUCUGAAUAGGGCGCUUAGUCAGAUGCUGCAGACCCGAAACGAAGUGAUCUAUCCAUGAGCAAGUUGAAGCUAGUGUAAGAACUAGUGGAGGACUGAACCCAUAGGCGUUGAAAAGCCCCGGGAUGACUUGUGGAUAGGGGUGAAAGGCCAAUCAAACUUCGUGAUAGCUGGUUCUCUCCGAAAUAUAUUUAGGUAUAGCGUUGUGUCGUAAUAUAAGGGGGUAGAGCACUGAAUGGGCUAGGGCAUACACCAAUGUACCA